UUGAAUAUCAAAAACUACUUAAAAUGAAUUAAAAAUGACCAGAAAAGAGAAAAUUGUUAAAAAAUAGCAAAUGAUAAAAUAAAAAAAAUUAAAAAUCAUUUUUAAAAACUAGAAAUUAAAAGAGAAAUAAUGCAAUUGGUCCCAUAUUUUUUGGACCAAUAAUAAAAGAGAUAUGGAUUUUAGAAAUAAAAUAGAAUUAAAAGAAAUAAAGAAAAUAAAAUCAGAAAUUAGAAAAU
RNAcentral lists this long non-coding RNA (236 nucleotides) under Lathyrus oleraceus (garden pea). RNAcentral describes it as "Pisum sativum (pea) long non-coding RNA (PSAT_LNC030644)". The record is from RNAcentral. Lineage: Eukaryota; Viridiplantae; Streptophyta; Magnoliopsida; Fabales; Fabaceae.